UAAAUCUAAUCAAAAGGUUAAUAAAAGUUUUAAUAGAAGAUAUUAUUUUUAAAUGUCCUAAUAAUAUUACUUUUCUUAAAAAAACACUAUAAAUAGUUUAUUGUAGGCAUUGUUAUCUCCAUCAUUCAAGACAACAUGGCAAUGAGCAUCAAUAGAGUGUAUUUUUUCUUCGCUAUUUUAUGCAUUACUUCUGUCAUUACAACUUCAGGAGAAUCACAACCCAUCCCUUGGAAUUAUUGCUAUGGAAAGGGUCCUUGUCCAGGUAACGAUGCCUUGUGUGCUGACAUUUGUAAAGCGACUAAGGGAUUUCAUUUGGGUGGAAAAUGUGGUUGGACUGGUCUAUGUUGUUGUAGGGGUUGUUGUUAGGGAGAUUAAUUAUAUCUUUUUAAAAUAAUUGUAAAAGAAUAAAUAUAUUGAUUUUUAUUAUAUCAUAUGUUUUAAUAAAUUUUUAUAUGUACACACAAAUUGGUGUUAUGAUAUUAAAUCAUACUUAAUAUAAACUCGAAUACAACUCUUUUAUUAGAGUGUCUUCUCAUGCUUCA
Molecule: long non-coding RNA, 542 nt
Organism: Lathyrus oleraceus (garden pea)
Lineage: Eukaryota; Viridiplantae; Streptophyta; Magnoliopsida; Fabales; Fabaceae
Exons: 2
Source: RefSeq, a predicted model, not a curated record